RNAcentral lists this ribosomal RNA (497 nucleotides) under uncultured bacterium. Its description in RNAcentral is "partial 16S ribosomal RNA". It matches the Rfam family "Bacterial small subunit ribosomal RNA", at positions 28 to 507 of the family's 1533-position model. The record is from RNAcentral.
GAUGAACGCUGGCGGCGUGCCUAAUACAUGCAAGUCGAGCGAACAGACGAGGAGCUUGCUCCUCUGACGUUAGCGGCGGACGGGUGAGUAACACGUGGAUAACCUACCUAUAAGACUGGGAUGACUUCGGGAAACCGGAGCUAAUACCGGAUAAUCUAUUGAACCGCAUGGUUCAAUAGUGAAAGACGGUUUUGCUGUCACUUAUAGAUGGAUCCGCGCCGCAUUAGCUAGUUGGUAAGGUAACGGCUUACCAAGGCGACGAUGCGUAGCCGACCUGAGAGGGUGAUCGGCCACACUGGAACUGAGACACGGUCCAGACUCCUACGGGAGGCAGCAGUAGGGAAUCUUCCGCAAUGGGCGAAAGCCUGACGGAGCAACGCCGCGUGAGUGAUGAAGGUCUUCGGAUCGUAAAACUCUGUUAUUAGGGAAGAACAAAUGUGUAAGUAACUAUGCACGUCUUGACGGUACCUAAUCAGAAAGCCACGGCUAACUACGUG